GAUGAACGCUAGCGGCAGGCUUAAUACAUGCAAGUCGUGGGGCAGCAGGUCCCGCAGCAAUGCGGGAUGCUGGCGACCGGCAAACGGGUGCGGAACACGUACACAACCUUCCUUUAAGCGGGGGAUAGCCCAGGGAAACUUGGAUUAAUACCCCAUUAAAUAUAGAAGUGGCAUCACUUUUAUAUUAAAGCUCCGGCGCUUAAUGAUGGGUGUGCGGCUGAUUAGGUAGUUGGCGGGGUAACGGCCCACCAAGCCUACGAUCAGUAACUGGUGUGAGAGCACGACCAGUCACACGGGCACUGAGACACGGGCCCGACUCCUACGGGAGGCAGCAGUAAGGAAUAUUGGGCAAGGGACGCAAGUCUGACCCACCCAUGCCGCGUGGAGGAUGAAGGUCCUCUGGAUUGAAACUUCUUUUUAUCUGGGAAAAAAUUCAAGGUUACACUUUGGUUGACGGUACUAGAUGAAUAAGCACCGGCUAAUUCCGUGCCACAGCCGGGUAAUACGGAGGGUGCAGCGUUAUCCGAUUCCGGGUUAAAGGUGCUAGCGGCAGGAAU
RNAcentral lists this ribosomal RNA (557 nucleotides) under uncultured Bacteroidota bacterium. RNAcentral's name for it is "bacterial SSU rRNA". It matches the Rfam family "Bacterial small subunit ribosomal RNA", at positions 28 to 582 of the family's 1533-position model. Lineage: Bacteria; Pseudomonadati; Bacteroidota. The record is from RNAcentral.